UAAAUUGAUAAAAAAGGAUAAAUAUUAAGGCCUAAUUUGUCAUUAUGCCUUUAUUUUUUAAAGAAAAUAUACAAAGAAUAAAAAAUCUUAUACCAAAAGAACAAAUUAAUUUUUCUUCAACGAUAUAAUAAUCAAUUAAUUACAAGUACAACAUAAGCUUAAAAAAAACAAACAAAUAUAUUUAUUUUAAUGCACAAUUACUUUUUUGGUACUCC
This 215-nucleotide long non-coding RNA is filed under the name Gossypium barbadense (sea-island cotton). Its description in RNAcentral is "long non-coding RNA (GBAR_LNC022771)". The record is from RNAcentral. Lineage: Eukaryota; Viridiplantae; Streptophyta; Magnoliopsida; Malvales; Malvaceae.